UACAGAGGGUGCGAGCGUUGUCCGGAAUUACUGGGCGUAAAGGGCGCGUAGGCGGCCUGAUAAGUCGGGGGUGAAAGUCAGCGGCUCAACCGCUGGACUGCCUUCGAGACUGUCGGGCUUGAGCAUGGUAGAGGCUGGCGGAAUUCCCGGUGUAGCGGUGGAAUGCGUAGAGAUCGGGGAAGAACAUCGGUGGCGAAGGCGGCCAGCUGGGCCAUUGCUGACGCUGAGGCGCGACAGCGUGGGGAGCAAACAGG
Molecule: ribosomal RNA, 254 nt
Filed under: uncultured bacterium
Lineage: Bacteria
Description: partial 16S ribosomal RNA
Rfam family: Bacterial small subunit ribosomal RNA
Source: RNAcentral